Molecule: non-coding RNA, 1132 nt
Organism: Oncorhynchus mykiss (rainbow trout)
Lineage: Eukaryota; Metazoa; Chordata; Actinopteri; Salmoniformes; Salmonidae
Source: RefSeq, a predicted model, not a curated record
UAAAGGGUCAAGGCCUUCACACCAUUCUUUAGUCUCAACACUGUUGGCACCUAGAUGCACUUCUGAGGGAGAUUGGAAUCAAAUCUGUCACUGAACGUGGAAUGUUAGUGAUUAUCUAGUAAGCCAAGUAGACAUCCAUGAGACUGGACAGAGUAGGUGACCUGUAUAUACAGAAUAAAGACUGGACAGAGUAGGUGACCUGUAUAUACAGAAUAAAGACUGGACAGAGUAGGUGACCUGUAUAUACAGAAUAAAGACUGGACAGAGUAGAUCCACUGUGUAUAUACAGAAUAAAGACUGGACAGAGUAGGUGACCUGUAUAUACAGAAUAAAGACUGGACAGAGUAGGUGACCUGUAUAUACAGAAUAAAGGCUGGCAGAGUAGAUCCACUGUGUAUAUACAGAAUAAAGACUGGACAGAGUAGGUGACCUGUAUAUACAGAAUAAAGACUGGACAGAGUAGGUGACCUGUAUAUACAGAAUAAAGACUGGACAGAGUAGAUGACCUGUAUAUAUAGAAUAAAGACUGGACAGAGUAGAUGACCUGUAUAUACAGAAUAAAGACUGGACAGAGUAGGUGACCUGUAUAUACAGAGUAAAGACUGGACAGAGUAGGUGACCUGUAUAUAUAGAAUAAAGACUGGACAGAGUAGAUUACCUGUAUAUACAGAAUAAAGACUGGACAGAGUAGGUGACCUGUAUAUACAGAAUAAAGACUGGACAGAGUAGGUGACCUGUAUAUAUAGAAUAAAGACUGGACAGAGUAGAUUACCUGUAUAUACAGAAUAAAGACUGGACAGAGUAGGUGACCUGUAUAUACAGAAUAAAGACUGGACAGAGUAGGUGACCUGUAUAUAUAGAAUAAAGACUGGACAGAGUAGAUGACCUGUAUAUACAGAAUAAAGACUGGACAGAGUAGGUGACCUGUAUAUACAGAAUAAAGACUGGACAGAGUAGGUGACCUGUAUAUACAGAAUAAAGACUGGACAGAGUAGGUGACCUGUAUAUACAGAAUAAAGACUGGACAGAGUAGGUGACCUGUAUAUACAGAAUAAAGACUGGACAGAGUAGGUGACCUGUAUAUACAGAAUAAAGACUGGACAGAGUAGGUGAACUGUGUAUAUACAGAAUA